GUCCUAGAAAUUGUAUAUAAAACUCAGCAAAUUGUAGAUAUGUGAUAUAGCAAGUCUUUACAAAGUAGAGACACAAUGUAUCAUAAACUUGUGUUGUAAGAGGCCAUGUGACCUUCUGCUUGUUUUUAUCCUGCCUUUCUUGUACAAGCAAUGAGGUUGUGAAUCAUUUACACAAGUGUGAAAGGUAGGUGUGAAGCAUUUACACAAGUGUGAAAGUUAGGGUGUAAAGCAUUUACACAAGUGUGAAAGG
This 250-nucleotide long non-coding RNA is filed under the name Mytilus galloprovincialis (Mediterranean mussel). Lineage: Eukaryota; Metazoa; Mollusca; Bivalvia; Mytilida; Mytilidae. The record is from RNAcentral.